CGGCUGAUCGCCUAGGAGACUCGCUCCCCUCGUCCUGCGCGCCUGCGGCGGUAGCGGAAGAGGCGCCCGCGCAGCGCCGCUGCCCGGAGGGGCCGCCGUGCGCCCGCUUCCUGUUCGGCUAGUUCCAGCCAGCUCGAGGACAAAACACGCGUGCGCGCGGCGGACGGGCAGGCGCGCUCGCCGCCUCAGCCGCCGAUGCUGAGUGCAGUCCGCCUUUUUCCGGAGCAGCCCGGCCACGGUGCUAAUCGAUAGCCGCCGCUGCAGCAGCUCCGCACUGGUGGACCAAGGGCGGAAAAAGGGGUUGACGGCUCUUUGCUAGGAGUGGGCUGGACCGGACGCCAGAGACAAAGGCUCUCAAGGCAAGAGGGACUUGGCCCUGCGACGGCGUUGCUCGGGAUUUUUGACCCCAGGACUUUUCUCCCCUUCGUUUUUCUCUUCUGACGCUUCUCUCAUCCCAAGCCCGCGUCCCCUUCACCCGCGACCUCGUUCCUCACCGGAGGGCCGCGAUGGAGGUCCCGCCCCGGCUUUCCCAUGUGCCGCCGCCAUUGUUUCCCUCCGCUCCCGCUACUUUAGCCUCCCGCAGCCUUUCCCAUUGGCGGCCGCGGGCGCCGAGGCAGCUCGCCCCACUCCUCCCUUCGCUCGCUCCCAGCUCUGCCCGGCAGGGGGCGCGCCGGGCCCAACGCCACGUCACCGCCCAGCAGCCCUCCCGAUUGGCGGGCGGGGCGGCUAUAAAGGGAGGGCGCAGGCGGCGCCCGGAUCUCUUCCGCCGCCAUUUUAAAUCCAGCUCCAUACAACGCUCCGCCGCUGCUGCUGCCGGGACUCGGACUGCGCGCCAGCACCCCCCGGCCGACAACUCCGCCACCAUGGAGGACAUGAACGAGUACAGCAACAUAGAGGAAUUCGCAGAGGGAUCCAAGAUCAACGCGAGCAAGAACCAGCAGGAUGACGGUAAAAUGUUUAUUGGAGGCUUGAGCUGGGAUACAAGCAAGAAAGAUCUGACUGAAUAUUUGUCUCGGUUUGGGGAAGUUGUAGACUGCACAAUUAAAACAGAUCCAGUCACCGGAAGAUCAAGAGGAUUUGGAUUUGUGCUUUUCAAAGAUGCUGCUAGUGUUGAUAAGGUUUUGGAAUUGAAGGAACACAAACUGGAUGGCAAAUUGAUAGACCCCAAAAGGGCCAAAGCUUUAAAGGGGAAGGAACCCCCAAAAAAGGUUUUUGUGGGUGGAUUGAGCCCAGAUACUUCUGAAGAACAAAUUAAAGAAUAUUUUGGAGCCUUUGGAGAGAUUGAAAAUAUUGAACUUCCCAUGGAUACAAAAACAAAUGAAAGAAGAGGAUUUUGUUUUAUCACAUACACAGAUGAAGAGCCAGUAAAGAAAUUAUUAGAAAGCAGAUAUCAUCAAAUUGGUUCGGGGAAGUGUGAAAUCAAAGUUGCACAGCCCAAAGAGGUAUAUAGGCAGCAACAGCAACAACAAAAAGGAGGAAGAGGUGCUGCAGCUGGUGGACGAGGUGGUACUAGGGGUCGAGGCCGAGGUCAGGGCCAAAACUGGAACCAAGGAUUUAAUAACUAUUAUGAUCAAGGAUAUGGAAAUUACAAUAGUGCCUAUGGUGGUGAUCAAAACUAUAGUGGCUAUGGCGGCUAUGAUUAUACUGGGUAUAACUAUGGGAACUAUGGAUAUGGACAGGGAUAUACAGACUACAGUGGCCAACAGAGCACUUAUGGCAAGGCGUCUCGAGGGGGUGGCAAUCAUCAAAACAAUUAUCAACCAUACUAAAGGAGGACAUGGGGGAGAAAACAGCGGGAACUUCAUUGCAGGCCGUGUGUCACCCUGACCACGUCUAUCUCUGGGGGUCGCACGUUGCGGGCAGAGCGCAAGGCAUACACCAGAAAACGCUGUCCUGUGGAGGAAAUUGCUAAAGUAACCCAUCUUGCAGGACAACGUUGAAGAUUGAUCUUCUGUUGAUCUAAGAUGAUAAUUUUGUAAAAGACUUUCUAGUGUACAAGACACAACUGUGUCCAACUGUAUAUAGCCGCCAAUUAGUUUUCUUUGUUUUUACUUUGUCUUUUGCUAUCUGUGUUAUGACUCAAUGUGGAUUUGUGUUUAUACAAAUUUUAUUUGUAUGAUUUCAUGUUAAACCUCAAAUAAAUGCUUCCUUAUGUAAUUGUU
Pteropus alecto (black flying fox) is the source of this 2162-nucleotide RNA transcript. It is a transcript of the gene named heterogeneous nuclear ribonucleoprotein D like, with no coding region annotated. The transcript is spliced from 9 exons. NCBI's taxonomy places the organism in Eukaryota, Metazoa, Chordata, Mammalia, Chiroptera, Pteropodidae. The record is from RefSeq and is a predicted model, not a curated record.